Molecule: unclassified non-coding RNA, 598 nt
Filed under: Hevea brasiliensis (rubber tree)
Lineage: Eukaryota; Viridiplantae; Streptophyta; Magnoliopsida; Malpighiales; Euphorbiaceae
Source: RNAcentral
GAAGAAGAUGAAGAAGAAAGAAAAAAUUCUGUCCAUUAAUAAUUAAUACUAUCAUUUGCAACUUUUAGCCCAAUUCUAUGGGACAUUUCAACUGAUGCACAUGAUAGAAGUUAACAUUUGGUAUUUCAAAAUUAAAGUGGUUAACCAGCAAGUACAAAAUGCUAUGUGGGAUUCUCACAUUCUUUUAGCUGAUAGAAGGAAGCACCUGAAAUUAACUUUCCAACAUUUUCUUCAUUCUUAAGGAUAAAAAUGAUUUCAAGGAAUGAGGAAUGUGACGAUAAGGAGUAGGGCAGUUAGUGGGUUAGUACAGCAGUACAAUAGGAAGAUUCUAUAAUAGUAGUUAGUUGUAAUCACUCUCUUCAGUCAAUUGUAACUGUAGAGAGCAGUUAUAGAAUUCAAAGAAGUAUAAAUAGGAACUUACUUUUAAAGAGGAGACUGUGCAAGAUAAUUAAUAAUCAAAGAUAUCUCCCUUCUCUCUUCUUCUCUCUCUUUUCUCUCUAUUUCUGCUCUCUCCUCUUCUCUAAUUCUCUCUGAAUCUUCUUCCCUUUCUAUUUCUUUUCUCAACCCAGUCUACUUCUAUCUCUUUCUCUCCCUAUUU